RNAcentral lists this ribosomal RNA (665 nucleotides) under Salmonella enterica subsp. enterica serovar Typhimurium. RNAcentral's name for it is "bacterial SSU rRNA". It matches the Rfam family "Bacterial small subunit ribosomal RNA", at positions 878 to 1533 of the family's 1533-position model. The record is from RNAcentral. Lineage: Bacteria; Pseudomonadati; Pseudomonadota; Gammaproteobacteria; Enterobacterales; Enterobacteriaceae.
GAGUACGGCCGCAAGGUUAAAACUCAAAUGAAUUGACGGGGGCCCGCACAAGCGGUGGAGCAUGUGGUUUAAUUCGAUGCAACGCGAAGAACCUUACCUGGUCUUGACAUCCACAGAAGAAUCCAGAGAUGGAUUUGUGCCUUCGGGAACUGUGAGACAGGUGCUGCAUGGCUGUCGUCAGCUCGUGUUGUGAAAUGUUGGGUUAAGUCCCGCAACGAGCGCAACCCUUAUCCUUUGUUGCCAGCGAUUAGGUCGGGAACUCAAAGGAGACUGCCAGUGAUAAACUGGAGGAAGGUGGGGAUGACGUCAAGUCAUCAUGGCCCUUACGACCAGGGCUACACACGUGCUACAAUGGCGCAUACAAAGAGAAGCGACCUCGCGAGAGCAAGCGGACCUCAUAAAGUGCGUCGUAGUCCGGAUUGGAGUCUGCAACUCGACUCCAUGAAGUCGGAAUCGCUAGUAAUCGUGGAUCAGAAUGCCACGGUGAAUACGUUCCCGGGCCUUGUACACACCGCCCGUCACACCAUGGGAGUGGGUUGCAAAAGAAGUAGGUAGCUUAACCUUCGGGAGGGCGCUUACCACUUUGUGAUUCAUGACUGGGGUGAAGUCGUAACAAGGUAACCGUAGGGGAACCUGCGGUUGGAUCACCUCCUUACCUUAAAGAA